RNAcentral lists this ribosomal RNA (515 nucleotides) under Pantoea stewartii. Its description in RNAcentral is "bacterial SSU rRNA". It matches the Rfam family "Bacterial small subunit ribosomal RNA", at positions 223 to 730 of the family's 1533-position model. Lineage: Bacteria; Pseudomonadati; Pseudomonadota; Gammaproteobacteria; Enterobacterales; Erwiniaceae. The record is from RNAcentral.
GGAUGUGCCCAGAUGGGAUUAGCUUGUAGGCGGGGUAACGGCCCACCUAGGCGACGAUCCCUAGCUGGUCUGAGAGGAUGACCAGCCACACUGGAACUGAGACACGGUCCAGACUCCUACGGGAGGCAGCAGUGGGGAAUAUUGCACAAUGGGCGCAAGCCUGAUGCAGCCAUGCCGCGUGUAUGAAGAAGGCCUUCGGGUUGUAAAGUACUUUCAGCGGGGAGGAAGGUGGUGAGGUUAAUAACCUCAUCAAUUGACGUUACCCGCAGAAGAAGCACCGGCUAACUCCGUGCCAGCAGCCGCGGUAAUACGGAGGGUGCAAGCGUUAAUCGGAAUUACUGGGCGUAAAGCGCACGCAGGCGGUCUGUUAAGUCAGAUGUGAAAUCCCCGGGCUUAACCUGGGAACUGCAUUUGAAACUGGCAGGCUUGAGUCUCGUAGAGGGGGGUAGAAUUCCAGGUGUAGCGGUGAAAUGCGUAGAGAUCUGGAGGAAUACCGGUGGCGAAGGCGGCCCCCU